This 271-nucleotide ribosomal RNA is filed under the name uncultured eukaryote. RNAcentral describes it as "partial large subunit ribosomal RNA". The record is from RNAcentral.
GGCAAGCAAAUGAAAGUAAAUUCAUAGCACUGAUCGCGAGCCAACUCCUCCAGGAAGUAGUUCUCCACAUGCUCAAAUCUAUACGCGGAGGGUUAGUGAACACUUACCGUAAUAAUAUGCAAAUCUGCAAGGCCAUUAACCAUCAACUGAACAGCUAACGCCGCCAAAAUAUACCUAGCAGUUUCUCCAGGACCAGAAUGCGUUCGUUAGUCAGAUAUUUGUCGAGACGAUGAGAGAUCAGAAACACACCGAGACCGAUAGCGCACAAGUA